Molecule: small RNA, 964 nt
Filed under: Pongo abelii (Sumatran orangutan)
Lineage: Eukaryota; Metazoa; Chordata; Mammalia; Primates; Hominidae
Description: retained intron
Source: RNAcentral
ACUGGAGCCUGAGGUGUCCGCGCGGCCCGGGCCUGGCGCCCUGAGGGGAAGAGCGGCCCGGCCCGAGGGUGCUGGGGUGGAGAGUUUUACUCCAAUACCUUUCCUAGCCAUGACGGACGGGAUCCUAGGGAAGGCAGCCACAAUGGAGAUCCCUAUCCACGGGAAUGGCGAAGCCAGGCAGCUUCCUGAAGAUGAUGGGCUGGAGCAGGACCUCCAGCAGGUGAUGGUGUCAGGACCCAACCUCAAUGAAACCAGCAUUGUGUCUGGUGGCUAUGGGGGCUCUGGUGAUGGACUCAUCCCCACAGGUAUGAAUGUUCAGAAACAGGAAUCUUGGGUGGAGGAGGGACAGGAAUGGUUUGGGGAAGCAUAGGAUGUGUCUAGGAAAGCUUGAAUUAUGUCUGGAGAUCUUGGGAACUUCUGCUUGUAGGAACCCCAUGGACUCUCCUCAGCCCAAAAGCAACUCCCAGCAUUGUCCAUCCAUUUUCCUUUUGCCACUUAGCCCCUUAAAUGGCUCAUUUGUCCUUUCCCUGCCACCACCUGAGUCAAGUUAAGACCUACUUCACAGGAAUGCCCCCGCUCUACAGCUUGAGGCUGAGUUGGAACUUUGUGAGGCUUCUCAGAAUUUUUAGAUUCUAAAGUUUAGAGGAACAAACAGCCCUGAAUCUCACACUAAGAUUCCACAUGGGAAUGCAACCAGGUUUCUUGUUAUCAUGACCCACCAUCCUUGACUCCUGCUGCCCCCAAACUCAGUGUAUUUUCUUCCUCUGCCCCUGUACACCAACAACUCCCUGCAAACCCCUCCUUUAUCCCCCAAGAAGGCCAUAUGUAUAUCAGGAUUUGGUUCUCACCAUGCAAGGUUCGAGUUCCUCCUAGUAAGCAGGAGCAUCCAGUUGUCUCUAGCAUCUCCUUCAGGGAAGUCAAUUUCAUGUGCUGGAAGAGAAGUAUGGGUGGGGCCACAGAGGUG